This is a long non-coding RNA of Piliocolobus tephrosceles (Ugandan red Colobus), 9105 nucleotides long. NCBI's taxonomy places the organism in Eukaryota, Metazoa, Chordata, Mammalia, Primates, Cercopithecidae. The record is from Ensembl.
AAUACAUCCUAUAAUAGAAAAAAAUAAUAAUACUUGCUUGGCAAAUAUUGAUAAUACACAUGAAACAUUUGAAAACGUUCAUAUGGUUACUGAUGUAGUAGAGCCAAUUAGUAGUGUAUUUCCAUCUGAACUUAACACUAACUUGAGUACUAACAAUGAAGCAGUUACGAUAGACCAAGCUACUACUCUUGCAACUACUAUUAAUAAUAAUAAUAAUAAUAAUAAUCGUCGCUCUAAUAAUAUUGAUAGCACUCACACAAAUAGACCAAAUAACACAUAUUCUCAAGCACAUUUUAUAAAUAUUGUUAAUCAGUUAUAUACUAAUAUAAUAAGAAAUAACAAUAGAUUAAGAACAGGUACAAAUAAUUCCAUAUCUUUUACUAUACGUAUGAACAACAUGAACAUUGGUAGAAACAAUAUAAUUUUUCCUAAUAAUACAAAUUUGACUACUCAACAUACUGAAGAUAGUAGUAGUGACAAUGACAAUGUCAGCCAUAGUAGUAUCAAUAGUAAUACCAGUCGUAGUAAUGAUACUAUAAUAGUUAAUAGAAAUACUAGAAAUGAUAAUACAAAUAUACAAAAUGAAGACAGCUUAUCUCCUUUUAAUUCUAGCUAUUUUCUAGUAGAUGAUAUAGAUCCACAGGUGUUAUAUGCAAACUCCCAUCCAAGUCGUUCUAUCAAUCAGACGGCCAGGAACUUAGAAACUUACUUGGACAAUUAUAAUAGCGGAAGCGCGAACAACCAAUAUAACAACCUAAGUAAUUACAACAGUACAAACAACAACAGCGGUUCAAACAAUAACGUGAAUAACAACAUGAACAAUAAUCUAAACAACAUGAACAAUAACAUAAACAACAUGAAUAAUAAUAUAAACAACAUGAAUAAUAAUAUAAACAACAUGAAUAAUAAUAUAAACAACAUGAACAAUAAUAUAAACAACAUGAACAAUAAUAUAAACGGCUAUAGUAACAUCAAUUUUAAUCUUAGAAACCUAUUCAACAAUAUUAGAAAUUAUAACACUACAGAAAAUAAUAUCAUAAACUCAUUUGACAGAUAUGAUAGUAGCUCAGUUUGUUUAUAUCCAAACAGGGGUAGUAUGAUGGACCGAUCUGCUGCGAUAGGAACUGACCGUGUGGCUGACCGUGUGACUGAUCGUGUGACUGAUCGUGUGACUGAUCGUGUGGCUGACCGUGUGACUGAUCGUGUGGCUGACCGUGUGACUGAUCGUGUGACUGAUCGUGUGACUGAUCGUGUGACUGAUCGUGUGACUGAUCGUGUAACUGAUGAUGCUGUUGCUUAUCAACCAAAUCGUUUAUUGCAAAACAACUCUUGUUCGAAUGAUGGUAGAACUACAAUAACUAGUGAUAACACACAGAAUAUGACUCUUAAUCCAAACGAAGGGGAUAACACUACCAGGACAAGUGCUCAAGACAAUAGCAAUAAUAAAAACACCAGUUCUUUACUAAAAAACAAAAAUAAUAACACAGGUAUAAUAGAUAACGGAAAUAAUAAUAACAAAAAUGAUGAUAACAAAAAUGAUGAUAACAAAAAUGAUGAUAACAAAAACAGAAAUAAUUUUUUUUUAAGGGACACAGUAUUAGAUAGAGAUAUGAAAUUAAGAAGUGGUAUUGUUAGUUCUAUGUAUAACCGAUUGUGCAAAGCUGUUCCUAAGGUAACAAUUAACCUACCCAUUAGCAACUUACUAGAUCAAAAAAAAAAAAUAAUAGAAUUAAUGAUAGAAGAUAAUAAUAGGAGAAAAAAAGAAUAUGAAUAUAAUAAUAACAAAAAAGGAAACGGACAUUCGAAAAAUCAAAAGAAAAAAGAUUCUUCUUGUUCUAAAACAUCAUCUGUAGUAGUGAAGGACGAAGAUAUUUUAAAAAAUAAAAACACGUUAGUAGAUGACUUGAGUAGUAAUAUUGCUGAAAUACCAGAUGGUCAGGAUGGUAAUAUCAACGCAAGUGAAGUCAUCACUAGUCAAUAUAAUAACACAAACCCAAUUAACGAAAAUAAUGUUAACGAUGUUACAAAUGUAGAAAUUUAUGAAACAGGAGUGAUAAAUACAGAAACUACCCAAGGUAACAACACUAGAACUGACAACUGUAACAAUAAUAACACAAAUGAAGUUACCGAAACACCAACUCAAGAAACUUCAAAUAUGACAGAAAAUACAACUGAAAUGAAACAGAAGGAAGAAGAAGAUGAUUAUAAAUACAUAGAUUAUGAAAACUUAUUUGAUUAUGUUUUAAAAAACGAAUCACUUCUUAUAAUAUGCUGUGCGUUAGGUAUAAAUCAAAAUCAAUUAUUUAGUAUGCUAAAUGUUGAUAGGUCUUUUCUUAUUGAACUACCUGAUAGUUUUGUAGAUGAAAUAGUAAUACAACAUUUAAAAAAUAUAACACUUGCUAAUGUUAAUACAACAAAACAAGAAAACAUACAAAAUGGAAAUAAUAUAUCAUUCGAAGUUUAUAAAAAAUAUUUAAAAUAUUUAGAAUUUAGAAAAACACAAAAAUCGGAUUUAUUACCUGAACAAGCGAAUGAAUCGGUUACCAAUUCGAAUACUGGUUCACAUGAUGACGUUUUGUCUGAUCAAGUGGCUGUACCAAGUGGAGUCGCAACUGACCCUGAGAGAACACCUGAGAGAACACCUGAGCGAACGCCUGAGAGAACACCUGAGAGAACAGUUGAGAGAACACCUGAGAGAACAGUUGAGAGAACACCUGAGAGAACACCUGAGAGAACAACUGAAAGAGUACCUGAGCCUGAUUCGAUAAAUGGGGCCAUCAGCGGGAAUACAGUCACAACACGCGAUGUUACCACAAGCAACAAAACCAAUGAUCAAGAAACAAACACAAAUAUCUACAACAGCAUAAAAAAAAGUUACCUACAAGCAUUACCAUGUAAUGUACGUUCAGAAGUUAAAAAAAUUAUACUUGGAAAUGAAAAUAGAACCUAUACACUUGAUGAAAUUAAUGUGGCAUUUAUAGAAUCAUUGGAACCUGAAUUGAGAAGACAAGUAUUAUCAACAGCUAGUAACAAAUUUAUAAGAACAUUAACAAACGAAAUGAUUGAAGAGGCAAGAAACAUAAGAUUUUUAGUGGAUCAUAAUAACCAACAAAAUAAUAAUACUACCAAUAAUACGAAUGCUAAUGUUUCUACUACUGCUGGUCUUACUGCUACUGCUGGUUCUACUGCUACUGCUGGUUCUACUGCUACUGCUGGUUCUACUACUACUGCUGGUCUUAUUGCUACUGCUGGUCUUACUGCUACUGCUGGUCUUACUACAACUGCUGGUCUUACUGCAACUGCUGGUUCUACUACUACUGCUGGUUCUAUUACUAGUGCUGGUGCGAAUGGCAAUAACACUGUUGAACGUAUUUCGAGUAGAAGAUCCAAUGAAAUUAACAAUCCUAUCAGUUCACGUACAAGUGCAAGUGCAAGUGCAAGCGCAAGCGCAAGUGUUACUGAUACUAGUACUAGUACACUUACAAAUAUUAUUAACGAUGCUACAAGUGUUGUAACUAAUGAUGUCACAAAUACAAAUACUACAAAUAAUACUAAUGAUAGUAAUAAUACCAAUACAUCUAAUACUAUGGUCAUUUGGAAUGCUAACAAUCGAACUGGACAUACUCGAACUGGACAUAUUCGAACUGGGCAUACACGAACUGGGCAUACACGAACUGAUCAUAACCGAACUGAUCAUAAUCGAACUGUGCAUAGUAGAACUGGACAUAGUCGAACUGGGUAUAGUCGAACAGAACAUAGACGAACUGGACAUAGCCAAACUGAACAUAGUCGAACUGGACAUAUCAGAAAUAACCAUAACAGAGCUAGACGCACAUCUAACAACAUAAUACGUACUAUUACAACAAAUGAUAACAGAGAUGAAUUAAUUAAUGCAGAUACUAUGCAAACUCUGAUCCAUAUAGGUAAUAUAUUAGAACAAAGAAUAGUACAAAAUUCUUUACAUGGUAGAAGUUUAACAUUUAGAAAUAUGACGUCACAAACAAAUAAUAGUAACCAGCCUUAUAACAGCAUUCUUAUAAAUACAAAUAAUAGAAGUAAUCGAAAUAGAAGAAACAACACAAGUAACAGAAUUAAUAGAAAUAAUAUGUUGCUUCACGCAUUGAGAAGGGGUUAUAUAUUAACUAACCAUAAUAAUAAUAAUAAUAAUAAUAUUUUAAAUAAUAAUAUUUUAAAUAAUAAUAUUCUAAAUAAUAAUACUAAUCAUAAUAAUAUUAAUAGACGUUUUUCCCAUCCUUCAUUAUUUUCUACAUCAGCAUUAUCAAAUUCAAGAAACCCAAGAAGCAGAAAUAAUUUACUUAGGGUAACUUAUAAUGAUAAUAAUAAUAAUAAUAAUAAUAAUAGUAAUAAUAAUCAUAAUACUCCAGUUAUUGUUAUUAAUGCACGUGGUUUAAAUUCUCCUUCUAGUUUUAUUGAUAAUCUUUUCAAUAAUGGGUUACUACAAUCAACUGAUAAUAUACCAACAGGAAUUUAUAAUAAUAAUCCUCAUUUUAGAACUAUUGUAGAAAGACAUGAACAUAAUUGUGACAAUAGUGAUGGUAGUGAUGAUAGUAGCAGUAGUAACAGUAAUGAUAAUGAAAACGAUAUAAGAAACGUAUUUAAUAAUAGUAGUAAUAAUAAUAGUAAUAAUAAUAAUAAUAGUAAUAAUAAUAAUAAUAAUAAUAAUGCUACUAAUAGAGGUACUAAUAAUAACGCUAUUAAUAGAGGUAACAAUGAUAACAUAAGUGGUAGUACGAAUAAUAACAACAGAAAUAAUGACAUAAACAGUAGUGAAAUUAUUAGAUAUGGUAUUAUAACAAAUGAUCUACCAAGAACCGAAACUGUUUCAAUAAAUAACCUGUUAAAUAACAAUACAUUUAACCACCGAUUAGGACUAAGUAAUAUAGAUAGAAAUAAUUUUAUUGGUAACAACAAUAAUAAUAGUUAUCACAUGGAUAGAAAUAAUGUAGAAAUAAACGAUUAUAUGGGAAAUAAUAUUAUAAAUAAUGAUAUUAUUAGAGAGGAAAUAAUACCAGGUGAUAAUAUAGACAUGAUAUGGGACAACACCAACCCCAAUUAUACAUCAAUAACUAACUUCCUAAAUAAUAACAACAUAAUUAAUAAUAGUAAUAAUAAUAAUAAUAAUAAUAUACUUAAUAACAUUAUCAAUGGUGGUAAUAAUAGUAACGUGAUAGUAGGUGAUGGUAUUGGUGGACAAAGAGACUAUUAUAAUAACACAAGUAGUAGUAACAUCAACAAUAAUAAUACAAAUAGCAUUAUUAAUAAUACUAAUAAUAACAUUAUUCAUAAUAACAAUGUAAAUGAUAUACAACUAUUGUUUAAUGAGCAAAACAGAAUAAACAAUACUUCGAAUAAUAUGAUUACAAAUAGUAAUAAUACUUUAACAAAUAAUAUUAGAACUACUAAUGACAAUACUACUACUACUACUAAUAAUAAUAAUAACAACUAUUUGUAUUACAUGAUGAAUGAUAAUAGGAUGUUAGAAAGAGGAGAUAAUGCAUCGGUAAUAAGGUGCUUAAAGAAUCUAUUUAAUACAAACAUAAAUCAAUUAAAAUCAUCUAUGAAUAAUAAUAAAAACGAUUCUGCCUUAUAUGUAUGUUUUGAAGAACCACUUCCCACACAAGCAUUAAUAGAUGUAUGUAGAUUAUUAUUUUUAAAAAAAGAAAUAAACAAAAAAAUUAUGUUUACUUUGUUUUGUAACCUCAUCUGUUCUUUCCAAAAAACGAAAACAUAUAUUUUACAGUUAUUUAUGAAUAUGUUAUGGGGUGCAACAGUAGAUUUGCAUGGAAGAAAUGGAAACCCAUCUGUCGUUACAUUACGCAUGAUCAAUUUUCCACCAAGAACUUUAUAUCAAAAUGUGAAUAAAAAAGAUCAAGAUGCAUUAAAUGCAGAUAGUCAUUUUACAGCAGCAUUAGUAUCAUCAGAAAGAGUUCUAGAACAAAUACAAUCUUUAUUAAUUACAAUACCACAUAUUACUACUUUUUUUUCAACUUUAUUAAUUCACCCUUCUUAUUUUAUCCCCAAGGAAAUUGAACAGAAAAUAAAGAAAAAAAAUGAAAAAAAAGGAACUAACAUUUUUACAUAUGGAAACAAUGAAUUGAAUAUAAACAAUAACCAAAAGUCGAUGGGAGAAGAAGACAAAUCUGUAAACGGAAAAGUACCAGAGCACUCAGAUGAUAUAGAUGAAUGUAUUGAAAAAUGGAAAGACGAUGAGGCCGUUAUUUUACAGUAUGAACUUAAAAGAAAACGUUUGAAAAUGGAUCUGAAUAAAAAUUCUGUACAAGAGGAAUUUCCAUCGCAACGACAUCGUCAAUCGAGUGGUAGUACAACUGGAAUCGUAAAUAAUAAUACCAAUGAUGUUAUAAGUAGUAGUAGCAUCAGUUGUAAUAAUUUACAAAACAAACCGACGCAAGAGUACCCAAUCAACAUCUUGUUACAAUUAUUAAACUCAUCACUCUAUUUAACAUCUAAAAAAUUGAUGAACCAUUUACUAUCUGUUAUCAUCGAUAUUCUGCUCAAUUGUGGUAAAAAGAAUCAUUCUCUUCUUAAUUUUACAAGAUGGAUUUAUGCUGAAAACAUACCACAUAUUUUGACCCCCGACAAAAAUAAUGUAAAAAAAAAUGGUGAUGAUAUUUCUACAGAAAAUAAGGACAAUUACAACAACAAGAACAACAAGGAAGACUCAUUAUUAGACAAACCUGAACAUGAUGAUAAUACUACAGAAACUGUCAACAGUAAUAAAGAAAAUAAUGUUAAAAAUAAAAAAAAUAAAAAAAAAGAUAAUAAUGCAAACUUAAAAGAAUCAUCAAGUAACUCAUUUAAAGUAAAUAAAGAAAUAUUAUUGAAUAUAAAAAAUAUAAAACCGAAUGAAAAAGGCGAACGUAUUCAAAAACCUGAACGCAUUGAAGUGUUCAUAAAACCGAGUUAUGUAUGGGACGUUAUAUCUAUAGAUGCAAUCAGUAACUUUAGCAAACUUGUCUGUAAUUAUAAAACUAAUUUCUUAUGGCAUAAUUCUAAUAAUUUAAAUAACUAUAACUCAAAUAGUAAUAAUCAUAAUAAUAACAGUAAUGGUAGUAAUAAUCUUGAACAAGUACAUAAACAGGACAUCUCUUCAUUAACUCAAAUCUUUAUAAUGUUUUUUUCGCAUUAUAAAUUAAAGGAUAUUGUUAUUAAAACGUUAAAAUAUCAUACAUAUACACUAAUCAAACGCAUUAUAUACGAUUUGAAGCAAAUAGUUCAAUCAAUUAAAAAUAACACUCUUAAAAAAUAUUCAGUAGAUCAUACUGAUAGUUUGGAACAAAAACUUGUUGCAUUGUAUAGAGUAAUCAUAAUACUAUUUAAUGCACCUUCAGUUAUCGACAGUUUGACAAGAAAACGUGAGGAUAAUCACAAAACAAGUAGAAGUAGUAGUAAUAAAGAUGGUACUAAUAACAAAGUAAAUAAUACUAAAGUAGAACAAAGUACUGUAAUUAAUUCAGCUAAAAGCACGGGAAGCAUUAUAUCCAAUACUGUUGCGGAAACUUCACUUGCAACGACACGCAUCACUAAUGAUAACAUUACCCAGGGUAAUACAAAUAAUAAUACUAGCCCUCUUAACAGUCCUAACAAAACCGUUACUACUAAUGGUCAUGUUGGCAAAAACGACAGCAAUAGUAAUAAAAAACAAACAGGUGCACUCGGUUCAAGCAUUAACGAAAAAAAAAAUAAAAAAAUAAAAGAAGAAACAAAAUUUGAUAUUUGUGCUGAAUUUUUUCUUUCUAUUAAUAUUGAUGCAUUAUGGGAAGAGUUUAAUAAGACUAUGCAAGUAAUUAGUAAUAUGUUUACCGAUCAAAAUUAUAAUUUUAAAUAUAAUGCAAAUAAAACUUCUUCAAAUGGUAAUAAUAUAUCCAAUGAAGAGCCAGCAAUUAUAGAUAAUAACAAUAAUAAUAAUAAUAAUAAUAAUACUAGUAGUAGUAGUAACAUAAAUAUAAGACAGACGCAAGCGCAAAAUGGUGAGCAGCAUAAUGAUCAAAACCAAACAGAGGCGAAUAACAUCACCUUAUACGAUUGCAGUUUCUCUUCUUCGUGUGAUACUUCAGAACAAGAAAGUGAUAUUUAUAAUAAUAUUACAGAUGUUGCAGUUUCAGGAGUAGAUUCAACAGCGGAACAUAAUGUGUUUCAAAACGACAAUGAUGAAGAAAACGACAAUUAUAACGAUGACGACAACCACGGCCACGGCCACGACUACGACCACAACGGAAACGACAAUGGAAACGAUCAUCUAACUAAUACCGGGGUAGUAGAAAAAAAAAAAGAAAAUGAUGAAGAACCACCACCUAUUAUUUUAAAUUAUAUUCUACCACUAAUGGAGGCUUACUUAUUUAUAGAAGAAGUAAUAUUAGUAUCUCAAUAUAAAUUAAAAAAGUUUAAAGAUUUAGAAAGAAAAAUAGCGAAUGUAAAUAUUGAAUCAAUAAAACUGAACGAAAAACUAACGUACGACGAUUGUCCUUUUUAUAUAAGCAUAUACAAUACUCAUGCGAAAAAUACUAAUGGUAAUACUACUAAUAAAAUAAAAAAAAAAGAAAUAUCCAAGUCGGAUGAAUCUUUAUGUAAUAAUAAUACUGUUAGUAAUGGUACAACUCAUUUAAAAAAUGUAAAUAAAUCUAAAAGGAAAAAAGAACACACUUCUAUAGAAUCAGAAUUAGGGUCAGGAUUAGGAUUAAAUCCUCAAGAAGUAAAUGAUAACAAAAUGAAACAAAAUAGGAAUGAUGUUGUUGAACCGUGUGCUAAUAAUACUGUCUCAAGUGAUUUCAAUUUAAUAAAAGAUAAUAAAGAAACUGAUAUUGAUUAUAAUGUAACCAAUAAAAAGGAAGACAAUGUGUUAUCAGAGCACGACACAACAGUUUAUACUAAUAAUAAUGAUGAUUAUGAAAUAUAUGAUAUAAAUAAACAUUAUAAAAAAAAAAAAAAAAAAAACCGACGCAGGUGAUAUUACUAUUACUACUACUACUACUACUACUACUACGACUAAUAAUAAUGAUGGUAUGACUAAUAAUGACAAGACAAUAAGCGAAAAUAAAAACGGACCGAAUAUAAAUAGUAAAAACA